Molecule: Y RNA, 102 nt
Filed under: Carlito syrichta (Philippine tarsier)
Lineage: Eukaryota; Metazoa; Chordata; Mammalia; Primates; Tarsiidae
Description: Y RNA (ENSTSYG00000037277.1)
Rfam family: Y RNA
About the family: Y RNAs are components of the Ro ribonucleoprotein particle (Ro RNP), in association with Ro60 and La proteins. The Y RNAs and Ro60 and La proteins are well conserved, but the function of the Ro RNP is not known.
Source: Rfam by way of RNAcentral
GACUGGUCCAAGUGCAGUGGUAUUUACAACUGACUAAUCACAACCAGUUACAGAUUUCUUUGUUACUUCUCCACUCCUGCUGCCUCACUUGACUAGCCCAAA